RNAcentral lists this ribosomal RNA (483 nucleotides) under uncultured bacterium. RNAcentral describes it as "partial 16S ribosomal RNA". It matches the Rfam family "Bacterial small subunit ribosomal RNA", at positions 30 to 507 of the family's 1533-position model. The record is from RNAcentral.
UUGGACGCUGGCGGCAGGCCUAACACAUGCAAGUCGAGCGGAUGAAGGGAGCUUGCUCCUGGAUUCAGCGGCGGACGGGUGAGUAAUGCCUAGGAAUCUGCCUGGUAGUGGGGGAUAACGUCCGGAAACGGGCGCUAAUACCGCAUACGUCCUGAGGGAGAAAGUGGGGGAUCUUCGGACCUCACGCUAUCAGAUGAGCCUAGGUCGGAUUAGCUAGUUGGUGGGGUAAAGGCCUACCGAGGCGACGAUCCGUAACUGGUCUGAGAGGAUGAUCAGUCACACUGGAACUGAGACACGGUCCAGACUCCUACGGGAGGCAGCAGUGGGGAAUAUUGGACAAUGGGCGAAAGCCUGAUCCAGCCAUGCCGCGUGCGUGAAGAAGGUCUUCGGAUUGUAAAGCACUUUAAGUUGGGAGGAAGGGCAGUAAGUUAAUACCUUGCUGUUUUGACGUUACCAACAGAAUAAGCACCGGCUAACUUCGUG